Molecule: ribosomal RNA, 253 nt
Filed under: uncultured bacterium
Lineage: Bacteria
Description: partial 16S ribosomal RNA
Rfam family: Bacterial small subunit ribosomal RNA
Source: RNAcentral
GACGAACCGUGCGAACGUUGUUCGGAAUCACUGGGCGUAAAGGGCGCGUAGGCGGCUUUUCAAGUCGGGGGUGAAAGCCUGUGGCUCAACCACAGAAUUGCCUUCGAUACUGUUAGGCUUGAGACCGGAAGAGGUGAGUGGAACUGCGAGUGUAGAGGUGAAAUUCGUAGAUAUUCGCAAGAACACCAGUGGCGAAGGCGGCUCACUGGCCCGGUACUGACGCUGAGGCGCGAAAGCGUGGGGAGCAAACAGG